GUAGGGAAUCUUCCACAAUGGACGAAAGUCUGAUGGGGCAACGCCGCGUGAACGAUGAAGGCUUUCGGGUCGUAAAGUUCUGUUGUAAGGGAAGAACAAGUGCCGCAGGCAAUGGCGGCACCUUGACGGUACCUUGCGAGAAAGCCACGGCUAACUACGUGCCAGCAGCCGCGGUAAUACGUAGGUGGCAAGCGUUGUCCGGAAUUAUUGGGCGUAAAGCGCGCGCAGGCGGCCUCUUAAGUCUGAUGUGAAAGCCCCCGGCUCAACCGGGGAGGGCCAUUGGAAACUGGGAGGCUUGAGUAUAGGAGAGAAGAGUGGAAUUCCACGUGUAGCGGUGAAAUGCGUAGAGAUGUGGAGGAACACCAGUGGCGAAGGCGACUCUUUGGCCUAUAACUGACGCUGAGGCGCGAAAGCGUGGGGAGCAAACAGGAUUAGAAACCCCAGUAGUCC
RNAcentral lists this ribosomal RNA (450 nucleotides) under uncultured bacterium. RNAcentral describes it as "partial 16S ribosomal RNA". It matches the Rfam family "Bacterial small subunit ribosomal RNA", at positions 354 to 796 of the family's 1533-position model. The record is from RNAcentral.